RNAcentral lists this ribosomal RNA (460 nucleotides) under uncultured bacterium. Its description in RNAcentral is "partial 16S ribosomal RNA". It matches the Rfam family "Bacterial small subunit ribosomal RNA", at positions 338 to 795 of the family's 1533-position model. The record is from RNAcentral.
CCUACGGGAGGCAGCAGUGAGGAAUAUUGGUCAAUGGCCGGAAGGCUGAACCAGCCAUGCCGCGUGAAGGUCAGUGCCCUAUGGGCGUUAAACUUCUUUUGUGCGGGAGCAAUAAUGGUCACGUGUGGCCAGACGAGAGUACCGUACGAAUAAGCAUCGGCUAACUCCGUGCCAGCAGCCGCGGUAAUACGGGGGAUGCAAGCGUUAUCCGGAUUUAUUGGGUUUAAAGGGUGCGUAGGCUGUGAGGUAAGUCAGCGGUGAAAUGCCCCCGCUCGACGGGGUGAAGUGCCAUUGAUACUGCCUGGCUGGAAUGCGGAUGCCGUGGGAGGAAUGUGUGGUGUAGCGGUGAAAUGCAUAGAUAUCACACAGAACACCGAUUGCGAAGGCAUCUCACGAAUCCGCGAUUGACGCUGAUGCACGAAAGCGUGGGUAUCAAACAGGAUUAGAUACCCGUGUAGUC